GGAAACUUUUCUUAAAAAUGAUUUCUUAAUGUUUCUGUAGGAUACAGUCAUUUACUUUCCUUAACGUUGUACAGAAAAAAAGAAACAUAUCUACAUAUUAGUCAACAACUUAAAGGUAGUCAAUGCAGUAUAAUCCAUACUGUACCAACUAAUAUGAUCAAAAGCUAUUUAAAGAAAAUGUGCCUAAUCAUUAAUAGUAACAUAAAAAGAAUAGCACUGAAAACAACUUUUAAUCUGAGAUGUUGUCAGCACUUAGAACAAAUAACCUGGGGGGAGGAGCCAAUAUGGCCGAAUAGGAACAGCUCCGGUCUACAGCUCCCAGCCUGAGUGACGCAGAAGCCAGGUGAUUUCUGCAUUUCCAUCUGAGGCUGGAAGGAUGACCUCGGAAGUCACAUGCUGAAGAUGGAAGACAUGUUGUAGUGCUGCAUUGACCUGGGGCUCAGACAUCUCAGACUCUUGUAGAAAAAAAAAAAAAAAAAAAACAAGACACAACUUUAUUGGGUUUGGUCUUACUUAUUAUACAUAUAUGCAUUACUACAUUAAUAUAUCUUGUUCCAGCAGCUUAGUUUUUACUUUUAGCCUCUAGAGGAUUUAGUGAUUUAAGUAGCCAUGAAGGGUAAAGAACACCAGGGAUUUCACAAUGACUAAAUUUAACAGCACAGAUGGCAGGGUUGAUAGUGUGCCAUUAUUUGAGUUAAAGAAAAAGCAAAAGAAAUUGCAGCUCUGGGGAGAUGAUAAUAAACUCACAUUUUGAAGGAUGAAGUUUAUGUUACUUGUGGGAUAUCCUGUUGGAGAUAUUCAGUAGGUUUUUAGACAGUCCUGGAUCUGAGAAAAAUAUGAAAGGUUUAUAGAAGCCAGAUGCGGCAGGGAAUACAUAGGGAGAGGUUGUGCAGCUAGAAGAGAAGGCAGUCAAUUACAAGACCCCCAGAAACCAAAAGCAAUAAAUAAAUAAAUAAGGAAGACUGUCAUAAAAACAAUGUUGAAUGAUGAAACAAAAAACAAAAAAUAGGUGCUAAAAAACACACCCAUUCACACAGUGUGAUAUUAUUUAAAGAAAAGUUAAAAUAUACCAAAAUAUGACAUGACACAUUAUGUACAGGUACAUACUAUGUAGCAAAAGAAUAUUUAAAAUGCAUGUGAUUGUAAACAUGCAAGUUUGGAUAAUGGUUACACUUUCAUUUGGGCAUGAAGGAACAUACAAUCUGGGAGGAACACAUAGGGAACUUGAAAUUUGUUGAUAGUGUUUUAUUUAUUAAAAUGGAAGCAGGUACAGAAGUGCUCACUUUUUACAUAGUUCACAUGAUUUGAUAACAAAAUUUAAACCUAAAAUGCAGAAAAGAAAGAGAGUUUUACAAAGUAGGAUGCAGUUAACAAUAACAAAGGAAGAUGAGAAAUAGAAAAUGACAAUUGAAUUUGACAGCCAGUAGUUAAUUAAUGACAUUUAGAAGAGGAAUUUUAGUAAGUACAGGGGAACUGAGUUAGAUUUUUAAAAAAUGGAAUGUGUAAAAUUCCACAUUUACAUUCUAAACAUUACACUAUUUUUGUUGUGCUAUUCACUCUAGGAAAUUGCCUUAUAAUGAGGAGAAAUAAAUAAAUUUUACAUUCUGUAGUAAUUAGAGGAAAAGAUACUAAUGAGAUGAUAACUGCUCUAAUUCAUCUAAUAAAAUAUUUUUGAUUGGGUUAGUUUAUUAUAGGAAUCAGCUAUAAAAUAUUAAUCAUUUCUCACUAGUAUAUUAGAAAUAACUCUUAAAUCUGUUAAAGGUACAUAAAUUCUAGUGGGCACCUGAAUGUAAAAUAAUGAAAAGUAAAAAGACUCUGAAGAGAAAUUUUUUUUUAAAUUUAGGAAGCCAGUAAACCAUUUUCAAAAGAGUAUUUGUUAUGUUCUAAUAUUUGCGUCUCCCCGAAUUCAUAUGUUGAAACUCUAACCCGUAAGGCGAUGGCAUUAGGAGCCUUUGGGAAGUUAUUAGGUCAUGAGGGUUCCUCUUGCAUGAAUAGGAUUCCUGCCCUUAUAAAAAUGGCCCAAGAGAGCUCGCUGGCCCUUUCAGCCACAUAAGGACACAGUGAAAAAACGUUUAUAAACCAGGAAGUGGGCCCUCACCAGACACUGAACCUGUUGGCACUUUGAUUUAGAACUUCCCAGUCUCCAGAGCUGUGAGAAAUAAAUGUUGGUUGUUUAUAAGCCACACAGCCCAUGGUAAUUUGUUAUAGCAGCCUGAACAGGCUAAGACAGUUAUGUAAAUAUUACUCUUCCAAAAUAUUUUUCUUUUUUUUUUUUUUUUUUUUUGAGAUGGAGUUUCACUCUUGUUGCCCAGGUUGGAGUGCAAUGGCACGAUCUUGGCUCAUCACAACCUCCACCUCCUGGGUCCAAGCGAUUCUCCUG
This 2380-nucleotide long non-coding RNA is filed under the name Homo sapiens (human). RNAcentral's name for it is "HSALNT0091231". The record is from RNAcentral. Lineage: Eukaryota; Metazoa; Chordata; Mammalia; Primates; Hominidae.